This is a long non-coding RNA of Oreochromis niloticus (Nile tilapia), 439 nucleotides long. RefSeq lists it as uncharacterized. The record is from RefSeq and is a predicted model, not a curated record. Lineage: Eukaryota; Metazoa; Chordata; Actinopteri; Cichliformes; Cichlidae. The transcript has 3 exons.
UGCAUUUGUGAAGUAUGAACAAUUUUCAGAUACCUAGAGAGAAGAGACAGGAGGCAGGCAACUUCAUUAAGCUGUUACAGAGCAAUGGACCCCAUAAAUAUGAUGCUGGCGUACAUGUUGAGGAAGAAAGCAGAAGCCCCAAAGCUGCAGUAGAGCAGCUGAAUAAUGAGAGAGCUGCUAGCAUAGUGGCUGAUGCGCAGUGGCAGAGAGAGGCAAAGCAGGAAGUCAGCAGCUGUCAGGUUCUUCAGGUAGACCAUCAAGCUGCUCGAUGCCUGCUGCUGAGCUCCACAAAAGUAAAACUUCAUGAUGAAGCCAUUGAGGGGUAAACCCACCUGAAGCGACACAGAGGAUGAGGACGACAGGACUUUGGUGUAGAGCCUCGAGCCUCCACCUGCUUGACCUUUCAAAAUUGACUGGUACAUGCGUAUUGGCUGAUCUG